Long non-coding RNA from Esox lucius (northern pike), 1680 nucleotides. NCBI's taxonomy places the organism in Eukaryota, Metazoa, Chordata, Actinopteri, Esociformes, Esocidae. The record is from Ensembl.
CGCCGUCCAAGUGCUGCAAUAAGCGCCGUCAUUUACAGCGUCUUCACUGACUCAUGUCGCGGUCCAAAACGCCGUUGCCCCUGUACUACACGGCGUUUGCGACGCUGUUGUUGAUGUCUAUAAGCGUCCUAACGUAAGGCGUUCAUUAUCACUUAACGCGGUUAUUAACGCCUGUUUGGUUUCAAUUCCUUAUUUGGAUUUUGCAUCAAUCACAUGGCUAGAUUUCAACCAAUCGCUGAGGAGAACAACUUUGAAACACGGAAAAAUAACAACAGCAGCAAGUUAAACGGCACUAUCUGUAAAUAUGUUGCCUGUUGGGCAUUUUCUUAUGACAUAGGCUUACAAAAUGUAAUAAGAUUGUUUUAGAGCUGUGUAUUACUCGCUAGAUGUUGUGUUAGUAAUGAAGCUAAAAUGAUAUUUUCACUUUGAAGUUCUACAUCGAACGGCAGCAACUUUUAUCUAACUACAGCUGGUUAGCUCGCUAGCUUGAUGGUUACUGUAAGUGGCUUUAAUUGUUUUAUAAUCAAGUAGCUAAAUUGUUUAGUUUGCUUUUACUUGUAUGCUAAAAGCCUGUGUGCAAAUGCAUACACUGCUUUUAGGUGUUGUGCAGAACGUUCUGUGUUAAAUUUAGUGUCUGUCACCUUCAUGAACUGGGGAAAGCUGGCAUUAGCUAGCUAGAUAAAUAGUGCCUUUAGUUAUGACUGUUAGUGAUUGCCAGUGGCUUUUCUGUCUUGGUUGGAAUUCUAUCCAUGUUAUAAGGCUUUAGGGAACAUGGUUGUGUAUGGCCUGGUAACAGCAAAAAGUCAGUUUUAGAAUUCAGUGAUACAAGGUUUUUCCUGACAGUUAAGUAACAUCUCUUCCCUACUCUUGGUUUUAGGUGUUGUGCAGAACGUUCUGUGUACCCUUAAGUGUCUGUUACAUUCAUGAACUAGGUAAAUCUGGCUUUAGCUAGCUAGAUAACAGUUUGCAUUUAGUUGUGAAGCCAAGUACGUCACAAUGGCUUUUCUGUUGUUUUUUUCACGUGACCUCUCUUCCCUACUGUUGUCCCUAUCUGUACUCUCUUGAUAUCAGUUUGUGCCAUUUUUGACAUCCCAGUUUACUUGGUCUGACUCGCCUGUUACUGUACAGUACAUCAUUUCCAACACAUUGUUCUAAAAGACGGUGUUGCAUCCAAUUAUGGAUCUAUUAGGCUUCCUCACAUCUCUGGGGUUGAAGGACAGAACCUUGGGCAAACGCUUUCCUAUACUUCCCUCUACAAGUCAGGAGGAUCAUCAACACACAAGCCAACUUCCUGGACAUACAUGUUUGAGUCAUUGGCCCUUUGGAUGGUCAACAAGAACUUUGCAGAAGUUUCUACUCAGUGACAUUGAACCAGAGAAGCUCUUCCAUUCCCCAAUCCUUUCCAAACAAGAGACUGCUCACUUAAAUCUCAUGGCGGUGUAUUUAAUGACACAACUACUUAUUAUUUUUAGCAGGAUGCAUUGGCCACACAGAAUCAACUCUUCACAAGUAUGUGCAUUGGAACUUAAAUCAUUAGAAUCAACUAACAGGCAUGGGGGUCUAUGAUGUAAAUAGUCGAGGAAGUGUCUUGUUGUUAUACUUUUUAGAGAUGUUAAUACAAUUCUUAAUGUUGUCAAGUUAACAGUUCCACAAUAAAGUAUUCCUGAAGUAGGGGCCAGC